Molecule: non-coding RNA, 375 nt
Organism: Burkholderiales bacterium
Lineage: Bacteria; Pseudomonadati; Pseudomonadota; Betaproteobacteria; Burkholderiales
Source: Rfam
GGGGCCGACCUGGCUUCGACGUGGGUACGGAGUCGGUUCAGGGCAUGCCGAGCACCAGUUCGCUCGUAAAACCACUGGAAACAAAGUAACUGCGAACGAUACUUCGUACGCCCUCGCCGCUUAAAAACCGGUGAGCUUCGCAACGGUUCGCCGAUGGGCCGGGCCUGAUGCCGCAAGGCAAAGGGCUGCGAAGUCAUACACAUUGGCUGGUGCCCUGCUGCGUCAUUCAGCAGGGGACGAGAACCAAGUGACUGGUGGGCCCGAUAGCGUGCUGCUGCGCGAUCAGGCUCAUGAGACUCAAAUCAGACAGCUAAGCAUGUAGAACUGGCCGGUGAUGGCUUGCGGACGGGGGUUCGAUUCCCCCCGGCUCCACCA